AGAUAAUGGUUACAAAAGGACAGGUGAGCUUAUGUGCUAUGCUUUAACUUUCUAUUUCCAGCAGUCAGGAACCACAGAAAUCUUGCCAAGUGUCCAAGCUCAUGCUUUCCAACUGGGACAAUUCUUCUUUCCAGGGACGUUUGGCAGUAUCUGAAGUCACAACUGGGUGGGCAUGAGUACCCCUGGCAUCCUGUGACUAGAGGUCAUGGACAAUAUUCAACAUACUGCAAGGCACAGGACAGCUCCUCUGUGACAAAGUGUUAUCCAAACUCUAAUGCCAAUCAUGCCUAGGUUGAAAAUCCCUGGUCUACAUAGUUGUACAGAUUAAAAGAUGGAGAAAAAUUGAGACUUUUAGCUUCAGGCAUUUUUCUACAGUGAAAUUCCUAAAUGUGAGUCAAAAGAUACAUACAUUCACACAGUACCUUGGAAGGUGUUGCCGCAGUGCCCUCUACAGAUGUAGCGACAGUUCCUUGCCACAAGGAUGUCCAGCAAUGCCUCUUUCCUGCACCAUCACCAACACGUUACAUCGCCAGCUUUCUUAUAACUACAUAAAUUUAAAUGGUUUUUCUAUUCAAACAUUUUCUUUUGUGUUAACUUAUUAUAGUAUGUAAGUUCCUUUGAUAUUCCUAAGAGAGCUAGGGUAUUUGGAGGUACUUUAAAGAAGUUGAAAGAAUGCAAACGGGCCCAAGUUGUUCCAUAACAAAUAAUAGCAUUUGGUUUUCUUGAGGAGCUAUUAGUCAUUUGCAGAAAAAAUGUGAGUGAUGAAGACUUGCAGUGCUACUCAGCCACCCUUACUUCCUGCUAUUUCUACUUCAGUCAUUAAAGAAAAGGCC
This 833-nucleotide long non-coding RNA is filed under the name Fukomys damarensis (Damara mole-rat). RNAcentral's name for it is "lncRNA (ENSFDAG00000028957.1)". Lineage: Eukaryota; Metazoa; Chordata; Mammalia; Rodentia; Bathyergidae. The record is from RNAcentral.